AUAGAGUUAGGAUAUGUGUGUGUACGCACGUUCUUAGGAGUUGUUACGAGUGGGUGUAUGAACAGGUUGUGAACUGAAGAAAUGUUUAAAAUGAUCCCACCAUACCUAGACAAGUGUAACAUACUUAUCAUAAGUUGAUAUCAGGUUUUAUUUUAUUGCUAUCUUGUAAAUACCCUUUGUACAUAACUAUCUUCAUGCAGUAAUAGAAAUGACGCGUAGGGAAGUUCACUGCGUUUUAUAUAUAAGAAAGAACGAUCGGUUUUGCUAGGGAUCAGAGUCGACGCGGAAGUAUAGAUAAAUAAGUUAACAACUAACAUAAGACACGAACAAUUGGUUGUUGUAAUGGUUCGUUGAUGCUACUCCCUAGGGCAGGAAGCAGGUUCGAAUCUCCUGCGCUCUUUUUUCCUUUUCCCUUUUUUUUCUAUUUUUGGUUUCUAAUUGUUUUCAAGUUUGUAUAUGUGCACUAACGUAAAAUAGAAGUAUAAGAUAAUCUGCACAUUUCGGACGAGUUGCAUUCCAAAAAUUUCAGUCCAAGUUAGAAACUUUCAUCCGCAAUUUGAAAAGUUUUACCUGCAAUUUUUUUUGAAUCGUGCAUAACUUUCACCCGCAAGAACCGGCAUAUAAUUUCACCUGCAAUUUUUCAAAUCGCGCAUAAAUUUUCACCUGCAAUUUUUAGAAUCGUGCAUAACUUUCACCCGCAAUUUAUAGAACCGGGCAUAAAAUUUCACCUGCAAUUUUUUGAAUCGCGCAUAAAGUUUCACCUGCAAUUUUUAGAAACACGCAUAAUGUUUCACCUGCAAUUUAAAAAAAAUGAUUGUUAUUAUUUUUGUUGCCUUUUUUCAUUCACCGUGACAUUGGAUGUGCUGUGCAAGUGUGCUUUCGCCAGGAUCGGUCAUUUUCAAAUUUCAAGUAUUUAGCGCUGUUUUAAAUUUUUGUCGCAUAUAAAUUGGGACUGAAUUUGUGCUAAUAUAAGGACGCAUGCUUUUUAAUGGUGAUCUCAAACUCUGGAAAACAUACACACACGGUCACACACACACAUAUGCAUGCAUGCACUGAUACGGACGUCACACACACAUGCAACCUGGCC
RNAcentral lists this long non-coding RNA (1087 nucleotides) under Brachypodium distachyon (stiff brome). RNAcentral's name for it is "long non-coding RNA (BDIS_LNC003462)". The record is from RNAcentral. Lineage: Eukaryota; Viridiplantae; Streptophyta; Magnoliopsida; Poales; Poaceae.